RNAcentral lists this non-coding RNA (76 nucleotides) under Cryomorphaceae bacterium. The record is from RNAcentral. Lineage: Bacteria; Pseudomonadati; Bacteroidota; Flavobacteriia; Flavobacteriales; Cryomorphaceae.
UUAAAUGUGCGUGGCGCUUUGUUCCUGAUUGCGGGCCACGUUAAAAAUCCGCUAAAGAGGUCUCGGAUCAUCCCGA